RNAcentral lists this ribosomal RNA (253 nucleotides) under uncultured bacterium. Its description in RNAcentral is "partial 16S ribosomal RNA". It matches the Rfam family "Bacterial small subunit ribosomal RNA", at positions 524 to 776 of the family's 1533-position model. The record is from RNAcentral.
UACAGAGGGUGCGAGCGUUGUCCGGAAUCACUGGGCGUAAAGGGCGCGUAGGUGGCGGCCCAAGUCCAUGGUGAAAGCUCGAUGCUCAACAUCGAGUCGGCCACGGAUACUGGGUUGCUCGAGCACUGUAGGGGCAGAUGGAAUUCCGGGUGUAGCGGUGGAAUGCGUAGAGAUCCGGAAGAACACCGGUGGCGAAGGCGGUCUGCUGGGCAGUUGCUGACACUGAGGCGUGACAGCGUGGGGAGCAAACAGG